This 440-nucleotide ribosomal RNA is filed under the name uncultured bacterium. Its description in RNAcentral is "partial 16S ribosomal RNA". It matches the Rfam family "Bacterial small subunit ribosomal RNA", at positions 338 to 795 of the family's 1533-position model. The record is from RNAcentral.
CCUACGGGUGGCAGCAGUAAGGGAUAUUGGUCAAUGGGGGAAACCCUGAACCAGCAACGCCGCGUGAGGGAAGACGGUUUUCGGAUUGUAAACCUCUGUCCUCUGUGAAGAUGAUGACGGUAGCAGAGGAGGAAGCUCCGGCUAACUACGUGCCAGCAGCCGCGGUAAUACGUAGGGAGCGAGCGUUGUCCGGAUUUACUGGGUGUAAAGGGUGCGUAGGCGGCUUGGCAAGUCAGUAGUGAAAUCCAUGGGCUUAACCCAUGAACUGCUAUUGAAACUGGGGAUCUAGAGUGUGCGAGAGGUAUGCGGAAUGCGUGGUGUAGCGGUGAAAUGCAUAGAUAUCACGCAGAACCCCGAUUGCGAAGGCAGCAUACCGGUGCACAACUGACGCUCAGGCACGAAAGCGUGGGUAUCGAACAGGAUUAGAUACCCCUGUAGUC